This 497-nucleotide ribosomal RNA is filed under the name uncultured archaeon. RNAcentral describes it as "bacterial SSU rRNA". It matches the Rfam family "Archaeal small subunit ribosomal RNA", at positions 93 to 593 of the family's 1478-position model. The record is from RNAcentral.
GUAACACGUAGUCAACAUGCCCAGGGGACGUGGAUAACCUCGGGCAACUGAGGAUAAACCGCGAUAGGUCACUACUUCUGGAAUGGGUAAUGACUCAAACCUAUAUGGCCCCUGGAUUGGACUGCGGCCGAUCAGGCUGUUGGUGAGGUAAUGGCCCACCAAACCUGUAACCGGUACGGGCUCUGAGAGGAGGAGCCCGGAGAUGGGCACUGAGACAAGGGCCCAGGCCCUAUGGGGCGCAGCAGGCGCGAAACCUCUGCAAUAGGCGAAAGCCUGACAGGGUUACUCUGAGUGAUCUCCGUUAAGGAGAUCUUUUGGCACCUCUAAAAAUGGUGCAGAAUAAGGGGUGGGCAAGUCUGGUGUCAGCCGCCGCGGUAAUACCAGCACCCCGAGUGGUCGGGACGUUUAUUGGGCCUAGAGCAUCCGUAGCCGGUUCUACAAGUCUUCCCUUAAAUCCAGCUGCUUAACAGAUGGGCUGCGGAAGAUACUAUGGAACU